GGGCCCGCACAAGCGGUGGAGCAUGUGGUUUAAUUCGACGCAACGCGAAGAACCUUACCUACACUUGACAUCCUCGGAACUUUCUAGAGAUAGAUCGGUGCCUUCGGGAACCGAGUGACAGGUGCUGCAUGGCUGUCGUCAGCUCGUGUCGUGAGAUGUUGGGUUAAGUCCCGUAACGAGCGCAACCCUUAUCCUUAGUUGCCAGCACUUCGGGUGGGAACUCUAAGGAGACUGCCGGUGACAAACCGGAGGAAGUGGGGGACGACGUCAAGUCAUCAUGGCCCUUACGGCCUGGGCUACACACGUGCUACAAUGGCAAGUACAGACGGCUGCGAACCCCGCGAGGGGAAGCUAA
RNAcentral lists this ribosomal RNA (355 nucleotides) under uncultured bacterium. Its description in RNAcentral is "bacterial SSU rRNA". It matches the Rfam family "Bacterial small subunit ribosomal RNA", at positions 917 to 1271 of the family's 1533-position model. The record is from RNAcentral.